This 435-nucleotide ribosomal RNA is filed under the name uncultured bacterium. RNAcentral describes it as "partial 16S ribosomal RNA". It matches the Rfam family "Bacterial small subunit ribosomal RNA", at positions 29 to 507 of the family's 1533-position model. The record is from RNAcentral.
AACGAACGCUGGCGGCAUGCCUAACACAUGCAAGUCGAACGAUUGCCUUCGGGUGAUGGUGGCGCACGGGUUCGUGACGCGUGGGGAUCUGCCCUUGGGUUCGGAAUAACAGCUGGAAACGGCUGCUAAUACCGGGGGAUAUCACCGGAUCAAAGAUUUAUCGCCUUGGGGUGAGCCCGCGUGGGAUUAGGUAGUUGGUAGGGUAAAGGCCUACCAAGCCGACGAUCCAUAGCUGGGCUGAGAGGCUGAUCAGCCACACUGGGACUGCGACACGGCCCAGACUCCUACGGGAGGCAGCAGUGUGGAAUAUUGUACAAUGGGCGCAAGUCUGAUCCAGCAAUGCCGCGUGAGUGAUGAAGGCCCUAGGGUUGUAAAGCUCUUUUACCCGGGAAGAUAAUGACUGUACCGGGAGAAUAAGCCCCGGCUAACUCCGUG